CUGCUACACCGAGGCUCCCGCUGAUUACUCCACCAAAACGGUCGAAUACUACACCGAAGCGGUAAAGUACUACUCUGCCCCGAUCUACACAACCACAACUGAGGCGGCCAAGUAUUACGCAGUCCCGACUUACUACACAGAAGCUGCUCUUUCGUACUACGUUGAACAGAAAUACUACACUGAUCCUCCAGCUCACUACACCACUACCUAGUACCUACGCUACACCGCAGCCCCCAAGUACUACACCUAAGAAGCCGCCUGUUACCCAACAACGUAUGCUGCCUUAGUUACUACACCGAGGCUCCUAAGUACUACAUCACUAAGGCACCGGAAUUCUAAACGUCUAUGUAUGCUGCCCCUGCCUACUACACCGAGGCCCCGCAUUACAACAACAGUGAAGUGCUCAAGUACUGCACUACAACCUAGGCUGCCCCGAGCUACUACACCUACGUCCCGAAGUAUUACUGUGCGUAAGAGGAGUCGUCAAAAAAAAAAGAAGUCGUGCCCGAACUGCAGUGCCCUAUCUGUCACCAACCGAUUCCUCAUCGUAUAACCGAUUCGCAUUUAUGGUUAAUAAGGCGUCGUAUGUGGUUGGGUGUUGUAUCGUUGAUGGCUGGGUCGACCGCUGGUGUAACGAUGUCUCCUUGGUAUGGCGGAAACCAAACCGCAACGCCGCCGCCUUACUACACAACAACAACUUACCCAACGACCAGUUCCUGCACCGAGGUCUUCAAGUACUACACCACUAAAGCACCGGAGUUUUAUGCUAUAACUUACGCUGCCCCGAGCCACUACACUGACGCCCUGAAGUAUUACUCUGCCCUGAGUUACUACACCAUCUAGGCGAUGGAGUACUACAUGACUACGUAUGCUGCUCAUCCUAUUACACCGAGACUUCUAACUGCUACACCGAGGCUCCCGCUGAUUACUCCACCAAAACGGUCGAGUACUACACCGAAGCGGCAAAAUACUUCUCAGCCCCGAUCUACACAACCACAACUGAGGCGGCCAAGUAUCACGCAGUCCCGACUUGCUACACAAAAGCUGCCCUUUCGUGCUACGUUGAACAGAAAUACUACACUGAUGCUCCAGUCUACUACACCAUGACCUACGCCACACCUAGCUACAACACGGCAGCCCCCAAGUACUACACCGAAGGCGCCGCCUAUUACACGACUACGUACGCUGCCUAGUUUACAACAUCGAGGAAUUUAAGUAUUACCCUGCUCCAAACUACUACCAAACUGAGGUUCAUGUGUAUUAUACAUCAGCAAUUCUCCCGACUAUGUCACCACUACUUACGCUGCUCCGACCUAUACACCGAAGUUCUGAAGUAUUUCUCUUGUGUUGAAAGAUUGCUGAAAUACAAGGUUGAUUGAUAAAUCACAAGUGCAUGUCUCUAUUUUCUCCUUAAGUACCUUAACUCCUGCUGAUAAUUGCAUGAUAUGAGAAAAUAUUUCUGAGUGCUAUGUACAAAUAAUUGAUCUUGCAAAAUACAAAAAUAAAAA
Daphnia pulex (common water flea) is the source of this 1508-nucleotide long non-coding RNA. RefSeq lists it as uncharacterized. The record is from RefSeq and is a predicted model, not a curated record. The transcript has 3 exons. NCBI's taxonomy places the organism in Eukaryota, Metazoa, Arthropoda, Branchiopoda, Diplostraca, Daphniidae.